AUGUGCAGCAACUUUUCUAUCAUGUUCAUGGUUUUUUUUUUUUGGCAAUGUGAUUUUUUUUAAUGACAUAAAGAAGAUGAUUUUUUUCCACGACCUUGUAAUAAUUGGAACUAACAAUAUGGCCAGUACAAAAAAAAAAAAAAAAAGUCUUUAUUGUGAUAAUUCAGGAGGCAAUAGUUUCUCAUAUUUCCAUUCAUGAGCUUUCCACUCAGGCAGUUGUUGGAUGACAACCUGCAUUAGAUUGAGGGCAUAAGCAAAAAAAGAAAAGAAUUGCUUCAUAUGUAUGUUUAUAGUUAAAGGAAAAGAUGGCCAAUGGGCCAUAGAACUAGUUAUUAAGAAAUUUGGAUUACAAACCAGUCCUCUAGAAUCUGUUUUACCAACUGUGGUUUGGCAAGCAAGUCUCCAGUUUUUGGGUUUCUGAAAAAAAAAGAAACUUUCAGCAUUUGAGAAAAUAGCAAUAAAAGCAAUAGGAAUUGCAACUUGAAGAAUGAUGAUAAAUGACAAUGACAAGGAUAUAUAUACAUACCUUCUUGAGUAUUUCCUUCUCUGUGUCUGUACGAGGGUUAAGCAACUCCUUCCCCAUUAUAACCUGACAUUAUCAUUAAACUUUUGUUACAGGUUAGAAAAGGGUUAACAAGACUUUAUCAGAAUUGGUUAAUUUCGUCGGAGCUCAUGUGGUAGCAGAUAUAUAACUCACCUCUACCAUGCAAGUCCCACAGGUUCCUGUUCCAGCACAAUUUAGCAAAGGUCUUGCAUAUGGUCCAUACAAUUCAAUAUUUGAAUCCAACAUUACAUCUCUAAGCUUCUGCCCACCACAGGCUGUACGAAAAUGCACAUCAGGUGUUCCAUCUGGUAGUAACACAGACUAAAACCAAAAAAUAAAUACAUAUAUGGUGUCGCCAUUGUAUUUUAUUGUAAAACUAAUCAUUUUUCACUUACAUGAACAAAUGCAAAAUUGAUGGAAGGUGGAUCUUCAGGCUCCUUGGCAUCGGAUUUACUCUCCGGUACCGUUCCUACGGCCCUGAUUUUCAGCCUGGAGAAACUAAUAUGGGUGGGGGGCUUAAGGUUUUUGAGAGUGUUGGUAGUUUGCUUCAAGUUUUGGGGAACUUUCAGGGAAGCUAAACCAUAAGAGUUGAGUUGGAGAGUGCCCAUUUUCUGAUAUUUC
This 1165-nucleotide unclassified non-coding RNA is filed under the name Hevea brasiliensis (rubber tree). Lineage: Eukaryota; Viridiplantae; Streptophyta; Magnoliopsida; Malpighiales; Euphorbiaceae. The record is from RNAcentral.